UGGGUCCUACGGGGGGCAGCAGGGGGGAAAAUUGUAGAAUGGGGGAAACCCUGAUGCAGCAACGCCGCGUGAGUGAGGAAGUAUUUCGGUAUGUAAAGCUCUAUCAGCAGGGAAUAGAAAAGAAGGUACCUGAAAAGGAAGCCCCGGCUAACUACGUGCCAGCAGCCGCGGUAAUACGUAGGGGGCAAGCGUUAUCCGGAUUUACUGGGGGUAAAGGGAGCGUAGACGGAAAGGCAAGUCAGAAGUGAAAACCCAAGGCUCAACCAUGGGACUGCUUUUGAAACUGUCAAACUAGAGUACGGGAG
RNAcentral lists this ribosomal RNA (305 nucleotides) under uncultured bacterium. RNAcentral describes it as "partial 16S ribosomal RNA". It matches the Rfam family "Bacterial small subunit ribosomal RNA", at positions 333 to 654 of the family's 1533-position model. The record is from RNAcentral.